AGAGUUUGAUCCUGGCUCAGAAUGAACGCUGGCGGCGUGCUUAACACAUGCAAGUCGUGCGCGAAGGUGGCUUCGGCUACCGGAGAGCGGCGAACGGGUGAGUAACACGUGGGUGAUCUGCCUGGAAGCGGGGGAUAACCUGGGGAAACUCGGGCUAAUACCGCAUACGUUCCUCGUGAUGCGUCAUGGGGAAGAAAACCGGCCUCUACUUGUAAGCUGGUGUUUCCAGAGGAGCCCGCGGCUGAUUAGCUAGUUGGUGAGGUAAUGGCUCACCAAGGCGACGAUCAGUAGCCGGCCUGAGAGGGUGAUCGGCCACACUGGGACUGAGACACGGCCCAGACUCCUACGGGAGGCAGCAGUGGGGAAUAUUGGACAAUGGGCGCAAGCCUGAUCCAGCAACGCCGCGUGGAGGACGAAGGCCUUCGGGUCGUAAACUCCUGUCAGGCGGGACGAAGGCGUGGGGGUAAAUAAUCCUUACGUUUGACGGUACCGUCAGAGGAAGCCCCGGCUAACUCCGUGCCAGCAGCCGCGGUAAUACGGAGGGGGCGAGCGUUAUUCGGAAUUAUUGGGCGUAAAGGGCGCGUAGGCGGCUUGGCAAGUCAAAGGUGAAAUCCCUCGGCUCAACUGAGGAACUGCCUUUGAAACUGCCUGGCUUGAGGCCGGGAGGGGGUAGCGGAAUUCCCAGUGUAGCGGUGAAAUGCGUAGAUAUUGGGAGGAACACCAGUGGCGAAGGCGGCUACCUGGACCGGUUCUGACGCUGAUGCGCGAAAGCGUGGGUAGCAAACAGGAUUAGAUACCCUGGUAGUCG
Molecule: ribosomal RNA, 808 nt
Filed under: uncultured bacterium
Lineage: Bacteria
Description: bacterial SSU rRNA
Rfam family: Bacterial small subunit ribosomal RNA
Source: RNAcentral